GAUGAACGCUGGCGGCGUGCCUAAUACAUGCAAGUCGAGCGAACAGACGAGGAGCUUGCUCCUCUGACGUUAGCGGCGGACGGGUGAGUAACACGUGGAUAACCUACCUAUAAGACUGGGAUAACUUCGGGAAACCGGAGCUAAUACCGGAUAAUAUAUUGAACCGCAUGGUUCAAUAGUGAAAGACGGUUUUGCUGUCACUUAUAGAUGGAUCCGCGCCGCAUUAGCUAGUUGGUAAGGUAACGGCUUACCAAGGCGACGAUGCGUAGCCGACCUGAGAGGGUGAUCGGCCACACUGGAACUGAGACACGGUCCAGACUCCUACGGGAGGCAGCAGUAGGGAAUCUUCCGCAAUGGGCGAAAGCCUGACGGAGCAACGCCGCGUGAGUGAUGAAGGUCUUCGGAUCGUAAAACUCUGUUGUUAGGGAAGAACAAAUGUGUAAGUAACUAUGCACGUCUUGACGGUACCUAAUCAGAAAGCCACGGCUAACUACGUG
RNAcentral lists this ribosomal RNA (497 nucleotides) under uncultured bacterium. Its description in RNAcentral is "partial 16S ribosomal RNA". It matches the Rfam family "Bacterial small subunit ribosomal RNA", at positions 28 to 507 of the family's 1533-position model. The record is from RNAcentral.